RNA transcript from Ananas comosus (pineapple), 2414 nucleotides. It is a transcript of the gene named pentatricopeptide repeat-containing protein At1g08610, with no coding region annotated. NCBI's taxonomy places the organism in Eukaryota, Viridiplantae, Streptophyta, Magnoliopsida, Poales, Bromeliaceae. The transcript has 3 exons. The record is from RefSeq and is a predicted model, not a curated record.
AAAUGCUGACGUGGCAGUCCUGGGGACAAAACCCUAGAGAGAGCGUUCGAACCCUCCCUAAUCCCCCUCUCCUCUCCUAUUUCACGAAGCCCAAAACAAAAAAUAUUUGGAAAUUGCGCGGUUUUUAUCGAUCGAAGUGGAGAUAGCGCCUCUCUCUCCAAUAGUGGUUCGCGGGACUGCAGAUAAUGAAGAAAUUGUUGUUUAGCACAGUAAAAAGAUUCAUGCUUUGUUAACAAGGUUGUUGAUUUGCUAAAUGAUAUGGGGCAUAUGAUAUUUAUGAAGCAUUGUGUGGGGGAUGCUCCCUCGUUCGCCUUUUCCGAUAGAUCUCAGUAUAGUUCGGAGCCAUUUUUGCCGACGAAACCAUAUGCAGCUUAUUUGGAUUAUCCGAAAAAUCUCGAGCAUAAACAUGGAUCAAAUGUCUACCAAGACAAUGCCAUCCAUUUACAGUCUACGAAUCAUCAGUCGCAAUUACGGAGCAGCCACAAAAAUGUAUUAAACGGAAGUACAAAAUCCGGCAAUAAUUUUGAGAAGACCAUUGUAUCCUCACACGCUAGACCGGCCCGUCUUCUGAAUUUAAAUUUAAAUUCACAUGAUUUGCCUCUCGAGGGAUACUUUAUUGACUAUGAUGAAUCGUCCAACAAUGAAAUCCUUCGAAGUUUCUGCGAGAACGGAAAGGUCACAGAAGCUGCUAAUCUGAUUGAUGUUAUGGCGCGCGUGGGCCAAAUCCCUGACUUUUCGUCCUGCAUUAAUCUGAUACGCGGGCUGGUUAACGCCGGUAAGAUGCAAAAGGCAAGCCGUGUUCUUCAGGUAAUGAUCUUCUCCGGGGGAAUACCGGAUAUCAUAACGUGUAAUAAAUUGAUCGGCGUACUAUGCAGCAAAGGACAGCUCAAUCUCGCGAUAAAACUCGUCGAAGAUAUGAAUUUCGGUGGUUGUCCUCCGGAUGUGAUCACGUAUAACACUUUAUUUAGGUGCAUGCUUGAUCAGGGUAAGUGUGAAGUGGCAAUUUCCUUUUGGAAAGGUCAGUUAAGAAUGGGCUCUCCGCCGUAUUUGAUACCUUACACCAUACUUCUUGAGCUCAUAUGCAAAAAUCAUGGUAUUAAGAAGGCCAUGAAAGUUCUAGAAGAUUUGGCCUUUGAGGGAUGCAAUCCUGAUCUUGUUACAUUUAAUGCUCUCAUAAAUGUUAUUUGCAAAGGUGGAAAGUUUGAGGACGCAAAACUUGUUAUCAACGGUCUUCUUGAUUAUGGUUUGGAGCCAAACGCUGUGACUUAUAACACUUUACUUCACGCCCUAUGUGGAAAAGGGGAGUGGGAUGAAGCGGAUGAUUUACUUUCUAUAAUGAACGAAGCUUCCUUUCCUCCAACUGUUGUGACAUACAAUAUAUUGAUUAAUAGUUUAUGCAAGUAUCGCCUUCUAGACCGAGCAAUUGAUUUCUUGCAGAAAAUGGUAACUGAGGAAUGCUCUCCUGAUAUAGUAACUUACAACACCCUCUUGGCAGCUAUGUGUAAAGAGGACAUGCUAGAGGAAGCUCUCGACAUACUUCAUUAUAUGAGGGAAAAUGGGUGUUGUUUGGUUGUUAUUACAUAUAAUACCCUUAUAGAUGGGCUUGCAAAGAAAGGCGAGGUUAAGAGAGCGAUGAUUCUAUUUGACGAGAUGGUUAGUGAUGGGAUAGUCCCUGAUGAUAUCACCUACGGAUCGCUUGUUAUGGGGUUUUGUAAGAAAGAUAUGGUGGAGGAAGCAGUUGAGAUGUUAAGGCAGAUGGUUGAUGUUAAUUUUAGGAUUAGAGGCACUACUUUUACCCUUGUAAUACAAGCAUUGUGUAGAAAUGGAAAGGUAGAUAGUGCUAUUGAGAUAUUGGAUAUGAUGAUAUCUCGAAGUAAUAGGGCCAGCAGAGCAAUCUAUGCUACUCUAGUUAAAGGAAUUGCUGAUUCUGGUAUGGUGGAAGAGGCUGCCAGGCUGCAUAAGAAGUUAGUUGAGUGCAAGAUCAUUAAAGAAAAUUCUAAAUUGUUAUGAUUAGUCCUGAGAAUGCUUCUUUGAAGAGUUGUCUCAUUUCUGACAAAGCGUAAAUUCUUUUGUCCCUUGGUUGAAAAGGUUUAAUAUUUCAUGCACACAUUCAUGUCGAAAAGAUCGUUCUGAGCUUGGAUCGAGUUGCAUAGAGAUCUACAGCGCCGUUAGCAUCAUCAGAAUUUGGUCUUCUUCCUUCUGUGCUUCUGAAUUGUGUUGCCUGUAAAGUUUUCGCCGUCCCCUUUUCGUAAAAAUUUAUCGGUAAAUGAGGCUAUUUGGCGGCAUUUCUUUCUUUUCAACAUAUCCUUUAACAUUGUAAAGAUCUUGUAGCAGCCCCAGCAGUAAUCAUAGCUGCAGUUCUUUGUAUGUGUAGAGACAUGAGUGAAACCAGAUAUGCUACUUUACAUGCUUAA